GGAGCAGACGGUCAAUGCGCCUAAAUUCAUGAGGAUAGAAGAGAUUGAUCUAGGGUUUGUCCGAUAAUAAUAUGUUAGAAGUAUACGGGAGGUUCGAUUCCUCCCUGCUCCGCCA
RNAcentral lists this transfer RNA (115 nucleotides) under Alkaliphilus metalliredigens QYMF. Its description in RNAcentral is "tRNA-Und (NNN) (tRNA-Und-NNN-2-1)". Lineage: Bacteria; Bacillati; Bacillota; Clostridia; Peptostreptococcales; Natronincolaceae. The record is from RNAcentral.